GUCAAAAGUCUGAGAUCCUUUUUGUGCUUUAAAUCUACAAUAAUGUUAUAUAGAUUCUUGAUUUUUGACCAAAGCAAAACAGGAUAUGUUGCUUGUUUUAUUGAAAUAUUGUGAUUGUGAUUUUUGUGGCUCGUGAGUGCUUUCAGUUUGAUGAUGUCUGGCACGCAGUGGGAAUAGUUGGGACACCGCCGACUUAUGCAAUUAAAGACAACACAGAUCACGUACUAAAUGAGUCACAUGAAAUAAAAACAGCUCUAAACGUCUCCCAUCUCACAACUGAUGGAGGAAUCAUUUAGUCAUUUAGAGCCUCCAAACAAUGCCUCCAAACAAUGCCUCCAAACAAAAUGUUGUUGAAAAUGUAAAAAAAAAAAGAAAAAAGAUGAAUUUACCAACAACCAAAAAAAAAAAAACCCCACAUGGCUGGAAAAAUUUUAGACAGAGCUAUUUAGUCUAUGUAUUUACGGCAAGUGGCUUACGGGUGUUUUGUGUUUGGAAGAAAUCAGACGUUUUCCAAACAUCUGCUUACACGGAUCCACACUCACCACACCCAGACACCUGAUGUCACCAAACUAUGUUCUAUGAAACGAUAGAAUCUAUAUUUUCCAAAGGUCUGAUGACAUCACGAUAGGCUGAUGUCUGGCCGCUCUCGGUGCUGAGAUGGAGGUAGAACGAGAGCUGGAGAGAGAGAGAGAGAGAGCGAUGGACUGACUGAGUCGGAUCCACUGAGAUCAAAGUCCAGCUUUGCUUCUGUUUGCCGUUUUGUUUUAUUUUUGGAAGGCGACAUUCAGAACCGCAGGUCGUGACCCUUAUUAAGCGGCGACCCAACAAGACUCCAACAGUGAGGCGUCAUCCGUUUUCUGAGCGCUCUGGACCUGUUGGACCUCAAAGAUCCUCCUGUGGGCAGGUGAGCCAAAUGCAGACAAAAUCCUGGAGUAGUGAACGUACAUUUAAAGCUAAAUCCUUCAUCUGGUCAUCAGAUUUCAUUUAGUUUUCAAAAAGUGUAAGUUUUGCUUAUUUGCGUAAUUUAUCAUUGAAAUGUUUUAAUUAAUGGGAUUAGUUAGAACAUUUUUGGAUUCAAUUUGUGACCGGAUCCAAUACAGUCAUUCAAUUUUCAAUAUGAGUGCCAACAUUGUGAUCUGGAGCACACAGACGCUGUCUCUGCCCAUUUCCUGUCUGGUGGCCGUCAAUAAAGGCCAGUAGUGCUAAAAAAAAAAUUAUAUAUACAUAUACAUGCUGUAUAUAUGUAUAUAUAAUUCUGACAAAAUUUUUUAUUCUUCAGAUUACGUUUUGGUAUAUUAGACUGAUAUAAAUAUGUUUUUUUAAUACUCGCUGUUGCUUUGGCCUUAUCGCUCUACGCUACGACUUCACUUCAGCAGGUUUUAGCAGCCUGCAGUAAAACUACACUGUGAUGUUUAUUCUGCACUAAGAUAAAGACAAUAGAGCGGUUUAUUAUAUAUAUAUAUAAUAUUAAUAUUAUAUAUAAUAUUAAUUCUAAACAAGGUGCCAUCAAAGAAAAUGCAAAUUAAACCAAUCAGCUAGCCUACACUUUUUGGAGUUUUAACAUGAAUAGUUUGGUCAUGCUGUCAGAUAUGUGAAGGUAUUCGUAGAAAAGGGUUUUAGUAGUAGAAAAAUUGUGUGUGUGACUAUCAGGUGAAGCCGUCCAAUAAAGAAUACAAGGUUUCCAGUUGUGUUCAUUUUAGCCAGAAUGCUACAGUGUUGCUCCAGUGUCGCUACAGAGUUGCUAGCACGGGAUGUCAGCUCCAGUGGACUCUACAGACUCCUGAACAGUUCAUCAUCAUCAAGUUUAUUCUGACAUUAUUUAUUUAUUAUUAUUAUUAUUUAGGACGCAGACGAUAUGACCAUCUCCAAGAACUACCACUCCAUGUCCCAGAAAGGUAGCCUGUCUGUUGUUUCCCACCAUCAGUUUUCCUAAUCUUUGCCAUACUACGUGUCUUAGCCAAUAAGCUGGGACUUUGCAAUAUUUUCCUGAUUUUACUCAAACAAGUAAAAGGAAUAUUGAAACGCAGCCCAGUUUGUUCGUCUGCGGAGUCUAUUGUUCUCUGUGCCGGUGGUUUCCUGUCUGUCGCUCAGCUCGUUAUUUCAGAGAAGAGCGAGACGUCGCAGCUGCUGCCGUCCGGUCGGCUUUGGUCUCAAGGCAACUUUUCCAGUGAACUUCCAAAAAGUAAAAUCGUCUCUGGGCGAAUUCUAUCCAUUUUGUUCAUCCCUACAUGUUGCAUUUUGAUUCAGAGGACGCAGAGCCUUAUCGUGCUGUGCAAACAGUAUAUGCCAACUUCUUCUGUUUUGCUUUUUGUCAUUCUUACAUGUUCCAGACUUAUGUUUUUUUUUUUGUUUUUUUUUACAUCAGUAAAUACAAAAUGUGUGUUAUUUAAAUGUUGAUCUUAUUUGUUGAGGGGGAACAAAACUUAACAUUUAUUUAAAAGUUACUACCUCUUAAGUACUGCUUCUGCCACACUUGGGAGCAAAUCUGCUACCCAACGACGUCAGUCUUUGCGAUAACCGGCAAUAAGUCUAUUAGGUUGUUUUCAUUCAGUUGUAGAUCAUGCAAGAUUUAAACUUUGACUAGGCCACUCAAAAUGCAUGAUUUUUGAGUGGAUGUUUUUGGAGCCUCUUAGAGGAUCAUCGUUCUGCUGCAUGACCCACGUUUGGCUGACGUUGAACUUUUCUACUCGAGAACAGGAUUCAUGGGUUCAUCACUUUGAGCCAGUGGCUCAGGUCCAGAAGCAGCAGAGAAAGCCUAGAUCAUCAUACUGACCCCACUGUGUUUGACAGUGAGUGAUAUUCAUGAAAUGCUGAGAUGCUCACCCUCCAAAAAUGUCAAUUUUGUCUCAUUUGUCUAUGGAAUAUUUUUCAAAAUCCUUGGGGAUCAUCGGGUUUUUCUUGGCUAAUAAUAGGCAGCUAUUAGUGUUCUCUUUAGUAAUCACUGGCUUCUUCCUGAAAUUGCCCCAUUUCCUUCCAGACUGUUUUUUUCUUCUCUUUAAUUGAGGGAUAAUGACUCUCACUGCUGUUUACUGAAAUCCUAAAGCAAUCGAUAUGGGUUUGUAACCCUUUCCAGACCGACAGAUGUCAAAAACUUUAUUUUUUUGUGUUUGUUUGUGCUUUUUAAAUCAAAUCUUAAGCUUUUAUUGUUUACGCGUACUUUGUACAAGUUCUACUUAAGUGAUUUCUUGACUCUACAAGUGGCUCAUCACAAAAUGCAUUUUUCACAGCCAUGUUGGUUUGCGUCGCUUUUUGUUCUUUCAAACAAAACAAAAAAACAAACAGUAUUUUGUAGUCAAUGGGUGACUUUUGUCUGAUACUAAAACACACAAGUGAUGGGGGGGGGGGGAGCUUCUUAUGUUGUUUUUUUUUUAAAUCAGCAAGGUUGCCAUUACUCCCUUCCCCACCAGUGUAGCGGGUUGUUUCGUUGACCGGCCAAUGAACGCAUGCUAACUGUAACCAGGAUCAUUUUCUAUAUUAGAUUUAGUUUAUUUAUUUUAUUUUCCAUUUUGUUAGAUUUAUUUUUUAAAGGGUUACUUAAACAUUUUUUCCUCUUCCCCUUAAUUUAUUUAACACCAACCAGGCGAGAACAAUAGUGUUCUCGCGUGGCUCUGACGUCAUGUGACAGCUGCACAUCAGCGUCCUAAAUUGACAGCACAGUUUAUAUGGCUGCAAAUCGCAGCUUAGGCAGGAAACGCUGCGGGACUCUGAUGUGCAGCCGGGUGAUUACUCAACCAAACGUUGCAAGAAUCACGAUUAGUCAAGAGGGAACUGGUGAGUGUUUGGUAGGGAGCUAGUAUGCUAGCACUAGUCUUCCAGCCUGUUGUGAUUGUAUAUUGAUUUGUUGCGUAACAAUAUUGGUUGCAUAAGUUAUAUUUACUUAUGAAACGUCUCCACAUGUAACUGAUUAAUUAGGUCUGUUUAUACAGGCCAGGUGCGUUGCAGAUCCCUCGCGCAAGGAGUGGCUGGAGGGAUCUUGACAAUAGCAAGGAUUGUCUGGUUUCACCGACCAGACUGGCGAGCUAAAAUAAGCAGGAUACCGAAACACAAGACUUAUCAUCUGGGAAUAUUCUUCCGACCUAAUUGGAGGAUCAGCUCAAGUCCCCAUUGAAGGAAGUGGAUUAUUUUGGUUUUUUUCCAUCAUCAACAAAGACUGGUGGACGUCCUUGGUAUAAGGAACUUUAACUUGUUUUUCCUUUACACUAUGGACUAAUGUGUAUAUAUAUUGUAUAUAUAUUGUAAAUACUAAAUACAACUCACCAAUUUGCACCAUC
Molecule: long non-coding RNA, 4271 nt
Organism: Xiphophorus maculatus (southern platyfish)
Lineage: Eukaryota; Metazoa; Chordata; Actinopteri; Cyprinodontiformes; Poeciliidae
Exons: 2
Source: RefSeq, a predicted model, not a curated record